RNAcentral lists this ribosomal RNA (119 nucleotides) under Serratia marcescens. RNAcentral describes it as "partial 23S ribosomal RNA". It matches the Rfam family "Bacterial large subunit ribosomal RNA", at positions 1 to 109 of the family's 2925-position model. The record is from RNAcentral. Lineage: Bacteria; Pseudomonadati; Pseudomonadota; Gammaproteobacteria; Enterobacterales; Yersiniaceae.
GGGUUGUGAGGUUAAGUGACUAAGCGUACACGGUGGAUGCCUAGGCAGUCAGAGGCGAUGAAGGGCGUGCUAAUCUGCGAAAAGCGUCGGUAAGGUGAUAUGAACCGUUACAACCGGCG